CAUAUUACACCCUUACUUAAAGUGUAGUUUUCAAAGUCGCCACAGCAGCACUUGGGAGCUUUUUAGACAUUCAGAGUCAAGGGUUCUACCCCAGACAUACCAAAUCAGAAUCUGCCUUUGAACCAGGCCCCUGGGUGAUUCCUAAACACAUUAUCAUGUGAAGAACACUGGUCUAUACCACAGGGAUCAACCUAAAUAAAUUUGGGCACAGGUGCAGAAGUUAAUUCCUCUAUUUAUUUCUUUUUUGCUCCUUUUUAGUAAGUACAGCCCUUAUUAAUUUGUGCUUUUCAAUGAAAAAUUAUUAUGUUAUAUGCUUUGGAUAAAUACUACUGCACUGUAAGUGCACACAUCUGCAUCAUUAUUGCCAAAAGAGAAUGCUCUGCUGAGGAAUGUACUGGGGUCUUGAACAUGAACAUUUUCUUCAUGGCAGCAGAGGGAGCACAAGAGUGCUUAAUAAAACCAGUGCACAGGUCUCUCCAAAUCAUGACGGAUUUUAAAUUGUAGUAUAUGUUUUCAUUGGAAGUAGCCUGUUAUGUAGUUCAAAAUGAAGCAAAUCAACUGAGCAAACACAGAUAGGCUUACCAGGUCAUAACAACUAUGUAACUGAACAGAUUGAAAGUUGAAUAAAAUAAAGAUAAACUUCUUUAGAGUUUUAGGCUUGAAUUCUUAAAAGAAAGUGGACCUCAAAAGUGAAAAAGAUGCCUUAGCUUUGCUCAAAAACAAAGAUAACACAACACGGAAUCAGGCAACCCUAAGAUGCCUUAGCUUUACUCAAAAACAAAGAUAACACAGAAUCAGGCACCCCUAAGAGUAGCUCCUGUUUAUCUAAAAACAGAGUCAGUUCACUGGACCCUACAUCAGGUAACUUAAUUUCAUUUGGUGUCAUACAUGUUGGUUAAGGUCCAUGCGCCUUUUGCUGUGUUUACACUCAGAAUAAUUUUAGGGGUUUCUCCUUAAUGCUUGCAGUGGUGAGGAUUUAGGUUUCAGUUAUACCUACGUAGUAUUUCAUACUUUUCACUACUCUUCCAUAUUGCAUCCUCAAAAACUCCCUUGAAGCAGAUAACAUACUUGGUAAAAGCCAAGUAUCCAAAAAGUUAUGGAACCACAUCGUGCUUUCAUAACAUUGAGUCAUUUAAUUGUUUCAGUAGUGCUUUGAGGUAUUCAUAAAUGAGGGAAAUUAUACAGACUAAAGAUCCAGAGCAUUUUUUACAGUUUUAAAGGUUUUUCAAAGUUAUUCUUAGAUAAUAUGUUUAUAUAUUUAUUAUUUAUUUACAAGCAGUCACUUAUUCUGCAUCUACAAUAGCUAAGACUUGAGAAUAUAAAAUUGAGUAAGACAUCUUAGUGUGCAAGGAGAUCAGAGCAGAACAGAUCUUACCUUUGGAAAACUGUUAAUUUUUACCACGUUGAAACACAAAGAUUCAUAGUUGAUGCGAUCCAGCACCUGCCAGAAUCAUAGCAAUCAGACUUCCAAAUAUGAGAAUCAAACAUUAGAAUCAUUAAAAAUUUGAGAGGCGGGGGGGGACAGUUGUACAACUCUUGAGCAAAAGUUGACUUAUAAGCUAAUAUUAAUAUUUCAAAUUUGUACGACAAACAAAUGUGAAGAUAUAAUGUGUAUUUUAUUUGAAUGUCUUCCCUAUCACAAAAUCAAAUGAGUAAGUUGAGUUGGUAAACAUUUAUUUAUUUUUAUCUUUUCUAAAAUGCUGAAAAGAAUUUUUCUCCCACACUAAAGAGGGUUUGCCAAGUUUCUGCCUGGAGCAAUUUGUUAUGGCUGUGUAAUAAAUCCCAGAAAGUUUGAAUUUUUAAUGGAAACACUGACAGAAUAAAGAGGGUGUAAUCCUACAUAUGUCAUUUAAAAAUCUGAGCAAACCAUAGUGUGCUUGCAAAACAAAUAUACUUUCCUUAGAUUGCACUCACAAAUAAGGCUGGGGAGACCAGAAAAGUAAAACAAACUCAAAACAAAAGUGAAAAACACUCACACAAUAGACUCUGAGGUCAGCUCACCACACCCAGACUAAAGUCACUGGGCUCUGUGCGUGUCACCAAGACUCUUAAAAGACAUACUUCUGAAUCAUCUUUCUUGACCCUCCACCAAACUGUAGCAAGACAGGCUUCCUGGGAAUGAAAAUGACAUUAGCAUUAGUCAAGAGUGAAAUUAAAGUCAUUGUACUCAAACAUCUGCCAACAGUCUGUGAUUUCAUAGUACCCACCUCUGAAAUAAGACUCUGUCUACAAUUAAAAACAAAGAAAAAAAGGUACUUUAGGUCUUCACUAUCCACUAUGUCUACUGAGCACUUGAAAUGUGUGAUUAGUCCAAAUUAACAUGUGCUGUAAGUGUGAAAUAUUCCUCAGAUUUUAAAAACUUGGUAUAAAAAAUACAUAUUUUACAUAUAAUAUAUAUUAUUCAUUAUUCUUAUAUUAUUAAUUUUAUGUAUUAUAUAUACACACAUGUAAUAUCUCCAUUUUUACAUUGAUUAAAUGUUGAAAAUAUUGGGUUAUUUUUUAAUAGUGUAUAUUGGGUUAAAAAAUAUAUCAUUAAACUUCA
RNAcentral lists this long non-coding RNA (2542 nucleotides) under Pan troglodytes (chimpanzee). Its description in RNAcentral is "lincRNA". Lineage: Eukaryota; Metazoa; Chordata; Mammalia; Primates; Hominidae. The record is from RNAcentral.